AGCGUACACGGUGGAUGCCCUGGCAGUCAGAGGCGAUGAAGGACGUGCUAAUCUGCGAUAAGCGUCGGUAAGGUGAUAUGAACCGUUAUAACCGGCGAUUUCCGAAUGGGGAAACCCAGUGUGAUUCGUCACACUAUCAUUAACUGAAUCCAUAGGUUAAUGAGGCGAACCGGGGGAACUGAAACAUCUAAGUACCCCGAGGAAAAGAAAUCAACCGAGAUUCCCCCAGUAGCGGCGAGCGAACGGGGAGCAGCCCAGAGCCUGAAUCAGUGUGUGUGUUAGUGGAAGCGUCUGGAAAGGCGUGCGAUACAGGGUGACAGCCCCGUACACAAAAAUGCACAUAUUGUGAGCUCGAUGAGUAGGGCGGGACACGUGGUAUCCUGUCUGAAUAUGGGGGGACCAUCCUCCAAGGCUAAAUACUCCUGACUGACCGAUAGUGAACCAGUACCGUGAGGGAAAGGCGAAAAGAACCCCGGCGAGGGGAGUGAAAAAGAACCUGAAACCGUGUACGUACAAGCAGUGGGAGCACGCUUAGGCGUGUGACUGCGUACCUUUUGUAUAAUGGGUCAGCGACUUAUAUUCUGUAGCAAGGUUAACCGAAUAGGGGAGCCGAAGGGAAACCGAGUCUUAACUGGGCGUUAAGUUGCAGGGUAUAGACCCGAAACCCGGUGAUCUAGCCAUGGGCAGGUUGAAGGUUGGGUAACACUAACUGGAGGACCGAACCGACUAAUGUUGAAAAAUUAGCGGAUGACUUGUGGCUGGGGGUGAAAGGCCAAUCAAACCGGGAGAUAGCUGGUUCUCCCCGAAAGCUAUUUAGGUAGCGCCUCGUGAAUUCAUCUCCGGGGGUAGAGCACUGUUUCGGCAAGGGGGUCAUCCCGACUUACCAACCCGAUGCAAACUGCGAAUACCGGAGAAUGUUAUCACGGGAGACACACGGCGGGUGCUAACGUCCGUCGUGAAGAGGGAAACAACCCAGACCGCCAGCUAAGGUCCCAAAGUCAUGGUUAAGUGGGAAACGAUGUGGGAAGGCCCAGACAGCCAGGAUGUUGGCUUAGAAGCAGCCAUCAUUUAAAGAAAGCGUAAUAGCUCACUGGUCGAGUCGGCCUGCGCGGAAGAUGUAACGGGGCUAAACCAUGCACCGAAGCUGCGGCAGCGACGCUGAUGCGUUGUUGGGUAGGGGAGCGUUCUGUAAGCCUGCGAAGGUGUGCUGUGAGGCAUGCUGGAGGUAUCAGAAGUGCGAAUGCUGACAUAAGUAACGAUAAAGCGGGUGAAAAGCCCGCUCGCCGGAAGACCAAGGGUUCCUGUCCAACGUUAAUCGGGGCAGGGUGAGUCGACCCCUAAGGCGAGGCCGAAAGGCGUAGUCGAUGGGAAACAGGUUAAUAUUCCUGUACUUGGUGUUACUGCGAAGGGGGGACGGAGAAGGCUAUGUUGGCCGGGCGACGGUUGUCCCGGUUUAAGCGUGUAGGCUGGUUUUCCAGGCAAAUCCGGAAAACUAAGGCUGAGGCGUGAUGACGAGGCACUACGGUGCUGAAGCAACAAAUGCCCUGCUUCCAGGAAAAGCCUCUAAGCAUCAGGUAACAUCAAAUCGUACCCCAAACCGACACAGGUGGUCAGGUAGAGAAUACCAAGGCGCUUGAGAGAACUCGGGUGAAGGAACUAGGCAAAAUGGUGCCGUAACUUCGGGAGAAGGCACGCUGAUAUGUAGGUGAAGCGACUUGCUCGUGGAGCUGAAAUCAGUCGAAGAUACCAGCUGGCUGCAACUGUUUAUUAAAAACACAGCACUGUGCAAACACGAAAGUGGACGUAUACGGUGUGACGCCUGCCCGGUGCCGGAAGGUUAAUUGAUGGGGUCAGCGCAAGCGAAGCUCUUGAUCGAAGCCCCGGUAAACGGCGGCCGUAACUAUAACGGUCCUAAGGUAGCGAAAUUCCUUGUCGGGUAAGUUCCGACCUGCACGAAUGGCGUAAUGAUGGCCAGGCUGUCUCCACCCGAGACUCAGUGAAAUUGAACUCGCUGUGAAGAUGCAGUGUACCCGCGGCAAGACGGAAAGACCCCGUGAACCUUUACUAUAGCUUGACACUGAACAUUGAGCCUUGAUGUGUAGGAUAGGUGGGAGGCUUUGAAGUGUGGACGCCAGUCUGCAUGGAGCCGACCUUGAAAUACCACCCUUUAAUGUUUGAUGUUCUAACGUGGACCCGUGAUCCGGGUUGCGGACAGUGUCUGGUGGGUAGUUUGACUGGGGCGGUCUCCUCCUAAAGAGUAACGGAGGAGCACGAAGGUUGGCUAAUCCUGGUCGGACAUCAGGAGGUUAGUGCAAUGGCAUAAGCCAGCUUGACUGCGAGCGUGACGGCGCGAGCAGGUGCGAAAGCAGGUCAUAGUGAUCCGGUGGUUCUGAAUGGAAGGGCCAUCGCUCAACGGAUAAAAGGUACUCCGGGGAUAACAGGCUGAUACCGCCCAAGAGUUCAUAUCGACGGCGGUGUUUGGCACCUCGAUGUCGGCUCAUCACAUCCUGGGGCUGAAGUAGGUCCCAAGGGUAUGGCUGUUCGCCAUUUAAAGUGGUACGCGAGCUGGGUUUAGAACGUCGUGAGACAGUUCGGUCCCUAUCUGCCGUGGGCGCUGGAGAACUGAGGGGGGCUGCUCCUAGUACGAGAGGACCGGAGUGGACGCAUCACUGGUGUUCGGGUUGUCAUGCCAAUGGCACUGCCCGGUAGCUAAAUGCGGAAGAGAUAAGUGCUGAAAGCAUCUAAGCACGAAACUUGCCCCGAGAUGAGUUCUCCCUGACUCCUUGA
RNAcentral lists this ribosomal RNA (2787 nucleotides) under Escherichia coli. Its description in RNAcentral is "bacterial LSU rRNA". It matches the Rfam family "Bacterial large subunit ribosomal RNA". The record is from RNAcentral. Lineage: Bacteria; Pseudomonadati; Pseudomonadota; Gammaproteobacteria; Enterobacterales; Enterobacteriaceae.